Molecule: ribosomal RNA, 253 nt
Filed under: uncultured bacterium
Lineage: Bacteria
Description: partial 16S ribosomal RNA
Rfam family: Bacterial small subunit ribosomal RNA
Source: RNAcentral
UACGUAGGGUGCGAGCGUUGUCCGGAAUUAUUGGGCGUAAAGGGCUCGUAGGCGGUUUGUCGCGUCGGGUGUGAAAACUCAGGGCUUAACCCUGAGCCUGCUUCCGAUACGGGCAGACUAGAGGUAUGCAGGGGAGAACGGAAUUCCUGGUGUAGCGGUGAAAUGCGCAGAUAUCAGGAGGAACACCGGUGGCGAAGGCGGGUCUCUGGGCCGAUACUGACGCUGAGGAGCGAAAGCGUGGGGAGCGAACAGG